GUAGGUGGCAAGCGUUGUCCGGAAUUAUUGGGCGUAAAGCGCGCGCAGGCGGUUCUUUAAGUCUGAUGUGAAAGCCCACGGCUCAACCGUGGAGGGUCAUUGGAAACUGGAGAACUUGAGUACAGAAGAGGAAAGCGGAAUUCCACGUGUAGCGGUGAAAUGCGUAGAGAUGUGGAGGAACACCAGUGGCGAAGGCGGCUUUCUGGUCUGUAACUGACGCUGAGGCGCGAAACGCGUGGGGAGCAAACAGGGAUUAGAUACCCUGGUAGUCCACGCCGUAAACGAUGAGUGCUAAGUGUUAGGGGGGUCUCCGCCCCCCUUAGUGCUGCAGCUAACGCAUUAAGCACUCCGCCUGGGUAGUACGGCCGCAAGGCUG
Molecule: ribosomal RNA, 376 nt
Filed under: uncultured organism
Description: partial 16S ribosomal RNA
Rfam family: Bacterial small subunit ribosomal RNA
Source: RNAcentral